RNAcentral lists this ribosomal RNA (253 nucleotides) under uncultured bacterium. Its description in RNAcentral is "partial 16S ribosomal RNA". It matches the Rfam family "Bacterial small subunit ribosomal RNA", at positions 524 to 776 of the family's 1533-position model. The record is from RNAcentral.
UACGUAGGGAGCAAGCGUUGUCCGGAAUCAUUGGGCGUAAAGCGCGCGUAGGCGGCCCUGUAAGUCCGCUGUGAAAGUCGGGGGCUCAACCCUCGGAUGCCGGUGGAUACUGUCGGGCUUGAGUACGGAAGAGGCGAGUGGAAUUCCUGGUGUAGCGGUGAAAUGCGCAGAUAUCAGGAGGAACACCAAUUGCGAAGGCAGCUCGCUGGGACGUUACUGACGCUGAGACGCGAAAGCGUGGGGAGCAAACAGG